RNAcentral lists this long non-coding RNA (565 nucleotides) under Heterocephalus glaber (naked mole-rat). Its description in RNAcentral is "lncRNA (ENSHGLG00100052360.1)". The record is from RNAcentral. Lineage: Eukaryota; Metazoa; Chordata; Mammalia; Rodentia; Bathyergidae.
AUUUCAGAAAUGAAGGACUCGGGCCGGGGAUUAAGCUCAGUAUCACCACGCCUGCCUCACACGUGCAAGGUCCUGAGUUCAAUCCUCAGUACCAAAAAAAGAAAAAGAAAGGAAAAGAAUGAAGCAGCGAUGAAGGAGCAAUAAAGUCCUUCCAAGUAUCUAGCAUGUGCAGUUUUAUUUGACUGUCAUCAGGACUGGCUGUGUACUUGCCCCAACCCAACCUAAGGGUCUUAUAGUUCAGGCUGGCUGAACUCACUCCUUUUCCCCAAUAAAGCCUACUCUGAAAAACAUUUUUCUUAAUAAAAAAUGUUCAACUUUUCAACUCAGAGCUGACUAAGCACCUCAUUGUUUUGGCUGCUAUUUACACUGUCCUGGAGGAAUAAAUGUCAUUAGUUCAGUAAGAGAGAAUCUGCAAUGAAAUACAAUUUGUAGGAAAUAAAAAUAUAUCUAAUAUUUCAUAAUUAGUAUUCUCUGUUACUAUGGGAACUACGUAAAGUAUAAUUUGAAGUAGAAAUAUCAUAUGCCACAGUUUUGAAAUGUGUGAAAGUGCUGGAUGUGGUGGUGG